UCAGCUUAUUUCGCACUCCUAAUGCCAGACUCCUGAGCAUUAAUUUUUAAAGACUCCUCCUCUAUUCCUGCCACACAUUUAAAGCCAGAAGAGCGUCGACAGGUGUUACCGCAAAGAACGAACCCGCUCGGACCCGGUUUCGAGACGUUUUGCCGCACCAGCCACCACAGCUCCGCGUGCUCGCAGCAGCAGCGUCUGCGUACCGCUAACACUUGCGCAUAUGUCAAAGGCUAUGAAUAGACUUUUUAGCAAAUGCAACAAAUAGAUGCAGAGUUGGAAACCUUGGGAAUGUGUCAUCUGCAGCAUAAUGGAAAAGGGCUUCUCGAUACGGUCAUAAGGAUACUGCUUUCUCCUCCUCCUCCCAGUGACCCUGGAGCCCCUGCGUGACAAACUCCAUCUCGCUAAACGUGCAGGACUAUCACGGAGCAGCAGAGCAGAAAAGACCCGAGUUUGGGACUGCCUGAACCAUUUCACCUCUGUGACCUUCAGUUUUGCCGUUUGUGAACAGGUGACGCUGAUCCCUCUCCUGUCCGAGUUGGAGCUAAGGAGUACACGCAUUCACUUGACACAUCCAAAGUGCCAUAAAACUGCUAAAUAUUACUGCCAAAGACGCUCUCCCCCCUUCAGGCAGGUCCACACAUCAAUUCUGAUUUGCUAUCUAUGUCAGCUUUCUCCUCACUACAGUUAUACUGCCUCUACAGUAGGAAUGCAGUUAUGCCAAUACAGAGGAGCUUUAUAUCAUCAUCAUUUGUCUGCAAAGGAAGACGCUACAACAGUCUAUGCAGUUAUGUGCUGGCAUAGCAGAGUACUUGCCCUAGGGAGUUAGGUUUAAAGCAAAAUUAGAGUUCUAUCAUUUCAGCUGCAGAGAAAAGACAGACCUAAGAAUACCAAUUCCACAGAUGGCACGGCCAGUUGGACUGGUACUGGGCUGGACCAGCUCCUGAUCUGGAUUUUGCAGUGUACCUGGACAAAUUUCUACAGUGAUAGAUGUUGUGGCAAAGGGAGGAAAGAAGGGGAAAAACAGUGUUCCCCUUCUUUAAAAAGCAUUUGAGACAAGCAGAUUAAAAAUACUACAUAAGAGCUACCAUUACUCUUUAAAAUUCAUGGUAUUGUUUAACAAAUCACACCCUGUAACUGUCAUCACAACUAUUUUUAUCUACCUUAGAGAGUAGAUACAGCAUCUCUGCUGACCAAAAAGAAAGGAUCAACAUUUAGCACAUGCUUAAAUGUUGUUCAAGAGAAAGGUCCAGUUCAGGACAGAGGACAGGCCAGUGCUUUAUUUUAUACGCCCUGUGCUGUAUUUUACAUGCCCUGGCAGAGCUGCACGCAGCCAGUUCUGCUCCUGUGCAUGCUCUGCCCUUUGCAGUUAUAGUUCUCCCCUUCUGCACAGCACAUUCCCUGUUCCAAUGGAUCAGUUAUCAUGCCUCCGCAAUUCCACAUAGAACCCAGAAAAGUUAGUCCAGAAACCUUGAACUGGGCUUUAAUUCAAAGAUGAGCCAGUGCCGAGAGGGACACCAGGACAGUGUGUUAUCAGCAAACCCAUAUGCAGUAGAAAACUGGAUCACGCAGAGAACAGACUCCCUUCUUAAGGGUAACAGAAAUACUAUUUCUAAAAGAAGGUCACACAAUGAACCUGGAUACAGCUUCCUGCUUUCUCCUGAUCUGUUCCUCCCCACCACAGUCAGACAGCUUUUCAGGAAACCGAGACACUGGACCAAGGUUAUGAGCAGUUAUAUCAUGAAGAGGGAAAAAAAAAAGAAAUGAAAAAAGACCACAAGAGAAAUAUUUUCCUGCACUAACCACCAAGAACCCCAUGUCUUAUAAAACGAGACACAAGGCCAAGUUUCAGGGACUUUCAAAUCUCAACACUAAGAUCUACCUUACCGAGGAUUUAUAAUUACAGCACAGACAUUUUACCCCUGUGCUUCACUGUUAGUAGUAAUGCUCAGUUCCACUGUUUGCAAGACAAAUAGUUUAAGGAGUUCUCAUAUGAAUAAAAGAUAGAAGAACUA
This is a long non-coding RNA of Rhea pennata, 2012 nucleotides long. RefSeq lists it as uncharacterized. The transcript has 2 exons. Lineage: Eukaryota; Metazoa; Chordata; Aves; Rheiformes; Rheidae. The record is from RefSeq and is a predicted model, not a curated record.